AUGACCGAGUCCAAGGUUGGAGGAAACCAAGCAUCUUCCAUCGCUCUCGCCGUAGAGGGACCCUUCCCUCUCGCCUUGGAUCGAAAGGCGCCCCCGACGGUCAUGAGAGACGCUCACCCUAGAGCAAGGGAGAUGCCGACCUCGAGUCCUGGGAUAGUCACAGAGCACAACCUCCUAGGACAUGAGCACACCUCAUCUGACACACCGAAGCAACCUAGGACACCUGAAAGACAGCGGGAAAGCCACCGGGAGGAGCCACUGAAGAAUGAGCAGCACGGACAUCAGGAGAGGCCGCAGAACGACGAGGAGCAGGAGUCGUCGGCCGCUGAAGAGAAACACCGGGCGUCCAUGGCCAGGGACGUGCUGCUACUGCCGGGAAGAGGAACCCUAUCCCCUACCGCCGGAUCGCAGACGCCGUACCGCCGGAGCUGA
RNAcentral lists this ribosomal RNA (432 nucleotides) under Triticum aestivum (bread wheat). Its description in RNAcentral is "partial small subunit ribosomal RNA". The record is from RNAcentral. Lineage: Eukaryota; Viridiplantae; Streptophyta; Magnoliopsida; Poales; Poaceae.